GUUGGGAGAAUGAAGAAGCUUCAUAGGAAUUUGAACCUAUAAAAGAAGUUGAAUCUCAAGAACAAAAUUCGUAUGAAGAUGACUUGUCAAUAGAGUUCCCACAAGAGCAGGAGUUACUUGAAAAAGAAAUUGAACCUAAAGUUGAAGAAAACAACUCCUUUAUUGUUGGUGGGUCAUUGGAAGAGUGCUUACAUGAAGAUAAAUCAGAGGUGAAUGUGGUAGAUAAAGAAAUUGACAAGACUAUCAACUUGAGCUCAUUAAUGAUAUUUACACAUACACCACUAGAAGACCCUUUUCUAUCAUGGAC
This 307-nucleotide unclassified non-coding RNA is filed under the name Hevea brasiliensis (rubber tree). The record is from RNAcentral. Lineage: Eukaryota; Viridiplantae; Streptophyta; Magnoliopsida; Malpighiales; Euphorbiaceae.